This 72-nucleotide transfer RNA is filed under the name Bos taurus (domestic cattle). It matches the Rfam family "tRNA". Rfam says of the family: Transfer RNA (tRNA) molecules are approximately 80 nucleotides in length. Their secondary structure includes four short double-helical elements and three loops (D, anti-codon, and T loops). Lineage: Eukaryota; Metazoa; Chordata; Mammalia; Artiodactyla; Bovidae. The record is from Rfam by way of RNAcentral. RNAcentral also lists the same sequence under 4 other names.
UUCCAGGUGUCUCAGACGGUAAAGAAUCUGCCUGCAAUGCAGGAAACCUGGGUUCAAUCCCUGGGCCGGAAA